Oncorhynchus kisutch (coho salmon) is the source of this 1048-nucleotide long non-coding RNA. RefSeq lists it as uncharacterized. The record is from RefSeq and is a predicted model, not a curated record. NCBI's taxonomy places the organism in Eukaryota, Metazoa, Chordata, Actinopteri, Salmoniformes, Salmonidae. The transcript is spliced from 2 exons.
UUAUGUUGAACAUGUUUUGGAUAUUGUUGUAAUCCACUCUUAUUUUGGGCGAGUCCUCCAAAGAUUUCCAUUGGGAAUUGUUUGUCUGUUGCCGCCAACAGAGGGCGGAGUGCAGCAGUUUGCUUUGUCUCCCCUCUAAGAACCAAUUUAUGCAUGAUCUGAAAAUGUGGUUGGAGGCGCCAUAUGGAUGGUCUGAUGCAAAUGUGGAUCCUCUGGAGGCAGAGGCAAAUUGAGCUCUGUACCGCAUCGCCAUGCACUUCUCAAAUUUUGUAACAACGAGGAGGGCUUGGUAUAGCUCCGCAUUGACAUGACGGUAGGUGAGUGCAGGAGGUCCUGUAUAAACACACCCUCACUUCCUUGACAACUUGCUUCAGAACAGCUCUGUGCUGCUUGGCGACGCACAAGAAGUAUUAAUGCCCUAAAUGCUGCACGGCCAAUGCAGAUCUCAGAUUGACCAUGGAGCCUCUUUAACGAGUGGAAUACGCCUGUGACAACUUUAACCGAUUCCUCCUGUCUCCAUCUUAUUUCUUCUGAUUAACAGAGGUUAUUGUUGAGGUGCUUGCACAGCCAUCAUUGCCAUCAUCAUGUACCUGACACUGCUGACACAUCAAAGGUCAAAAAUCUGUCACGGAUUCCCCGGUACUGCUGCUCAUUCUGUUCACCAGCUCAGGAUGUCUACGUCACUGCCUUCUAGGCGUCACUGAACUGGAUCAUUACCACCAACUCUGGACUGUCUUGUCUCAUUAUGCACACACGGUUCCCAUUCCCCCUGAUUAGUAUGCAUAUAUAUGUGCCGUCUGUUCCUCAUUGUCCUUGUUGAUUAUUGUUCCCAUGUCCGUUGGUCUGAGUACCUGUGCUCUGUUGUAUCGGCUUGCAUGUUACCGUGUUAUUAAGGGUCUCGUCCCAUGUAUUUCUUAGAGGUUAACACCUCACUCUUUGUUUUGGGUUGCAGCCUUGUUAUAUACACGUGUUUGUCUUGGGGUUCGACCCCGUCAUGUUCAUGACAUGCGCUCUUUUGGGAAGAGAAAUAAAAAAACAUAUUUUCGUG